Non-coding RNA from Danio rerio (zebrafish), 73 nucleotides. The record is from Rfam. Lineage: Eukaryota; Metazoa; Chordata; Actinopteri; Cypriniformes; Danionidae.
GCCUGGCUAGCUCAGUCGGUACAGCAUGAGACUCUUAAUGUCAGGGUUGUGGGUUCGAGCCCCACGUUGGGCG